UAUGGGGGUAGUUGCAGCACGUAGGUGCCAUGGAUGGCAAAUCGUGCAUGCUGCUGGCACGGAUCAAUAGCAUCUUUCGAAGAUUUCUACCUCA
Molecule: non-coding RNA, 94 nt
Organism: Glossina austeni
Lineage: Eukaryota; Metazoa; Arthropoda; Insecta; Diptera; Glossinidae
Source: Rfam